Molecule: transfer RNA, 198 nt
Filed under: Triticum aestivum (bread wheat)
Lineage: Eukaryota; Viridiplantae; Streptophyta; Magnoliopsida; Poales; Poaceae
Description: partial small subunit ribosomal RNA
Source: RNAcentral
AUUUGCAAUAAUGCGAUGGGAGAACGGCGGGAAUUGAACCCGCGCAUGGUGGAUUCACAAUCCACUGCCUUGAUCCACUUGGCUACAUCCACCCCUUAUCCAGCUAAAGGAUUUUGGGCUUGGGCAAAGUUCAUCAAGGUGACUCCAGGAAAAUGGCGACAAAAGAUGUUUUGGUUUCGACCCAAGGUAAGUAAUUAA